RNAcentral lists this ribosomal RNA (254 nucleotides) under uncultured bacterium. RNAcentral describes it as "partial 16S ribosomal RNA". It matches the Rfam family "Bacterial small subunit ribosomal RNA", at positions 524 to 776 of the family's 1533-position model. The record is from RNAcentral.
UACGGAGGGAGCUAGCGUUGUUCGGAAUUACUGGGCGUAAAGGGCGCGUAGGCGGUCUUUUAAGUCUUGUGUGAAAUCCCUCGGCUCAACUGAGGAACUGCACGGGAUACUGGAAGACUUGAGUUCGGGAGAGGGAAGCGGAAUUCCGGGUGUAGCGGUGAAAUGCGUAGAUAUCCGGAGGAACACCGGUGGCGAAGGCGGCUUCCUGGACCGAUUACUGACGCUGAUGCGCGAAAGCUAGGGGAGCAAACGGG